Molecule: ribosomal RNA, 253 nt
Filed under: uncultured bacterium
Lineage: Bacteria
Description: partial 16S ribosomal RNA
Rfam family: Bacterial small subunit ribosomal RNA
Source: RNAcentral
UACGUAGGUGACAAGCGUUGUCCGGAUUUACUGGGCGUAAAGAGCGCGCAGGCGGUCGUUCAAGUCGAGUGUGAAAGCCCCCGGCUCAACUGGGGAGGGUCAUUCGAUACUGAUCGACUCGAAGGCAGGAGAGGGUAGUGGAAUUCCCGGUGUAGUGGUGAAAUGCGUAGAUAUCGGGAGGAACACCAGUGGCGAAGGCGGCUUCCUGGCCUGUUCUUGACGCUGAGGCGCGAAAGCUAGGGGAGCAAACGGG